RNAcentral lists this long non-coding RNA (675 nucleotides) under Mus pahari (shrew mouse). RNAcentral's name for it is "lncRNA (MGP_PahariEiJ_G0002405.1)". Lineage: Eukaryota; Metazoa; Chordata; Mammalia; Rodentia; Muridae. The record is from RNAcentral.
AUGUAACGAUGUGCUCUCAGCUCUGGACGCCACCUUUCCCUUGGAGACAUUUCUGCUACCAGAAAGGGUGAAGGUUGCAGGUCAGCGCUCCUGGCCCCGGGGUACAGCUUGGCGAAGAGCUAUAUUGUUCAGAAUUCUUUUGUAUUCCUUCAGAACAUUGUUCUUCAAGAUAUAUGGGAUCGGGUUUCAGUUAAAGUACAAGAAAACAUGUAGAAGCUCUGAAGUACAAAACUGAACCCUGGUGACAAAAAUUCUGAAAGAUUUCGUACAAGAAAUUUGAGACAAGCUCUUGCUUCUGAGGUACAUCUAGAGAUCACUUUUCUUUGUCUAAAGUAUUAUGUACUUGGAUUAAUUAUAACAAAUAUGAUUUGCAUUGUUGAUCUCAAAAUAACUAAAAAGUAUUCUUCAUAACUACUGUUGAAAUGAUAAUAUUGCUAAUAAACUUAUGCUUAUAUAUCUAUUCUUGUAAAAUCUAGCUUCGUUAUUUCCUGGGGCAGGGCACAAAGCUUUUCAAUAUUAUUUCAAGUUACUUUUGGUUUUUUUCAAUCAGCGGUUGCCUGUUUGACAUUUAGAAAAUGCUAGUUAAUGAUAUUUACUUUUAUUCAGUGAAAACAAAGUGGUUUUGACACAGCUGGUCAUUCUGGAGCUUGGAAGAUAAACUAAAUGACUUGUUAC